GAGAGAGAGAGAGAGAGAGAGAGAGAAGAGAGAGAGAGAGAGAGAGAGAAAGAGAGAUGAUAGAAAGCGAUGAUGUUUGAAGAUCAGAAUCAACUUAUAUUUACCGUAAUACCGAUUUCCACCAGGAGGAAAUGAAAUAAACAGCUGAUCGAAUCUUUAAUAUUAUUAUCUUUCCAUAUUUUCUAACAUAUAUUUCCUAUCAUGCGUUAUAGUUUCCAUGAAUGACUACUCAAGUCUGAAGUAUUGGUAGUGAAAGUUUUGCUCGGAGCAGGAAGAAAAAAAAAAAAAAAAAAAGAAAAGGAAGAAAGAAAGAAAAAAAAAGACGAAAAAAGAAAAAAGUAUAUAAUACGGCGUUAGAAUAUAUACGUGUGUAUCUCUCUGUGUGUGGGUGUGUGUGUAUGUGUGUGCGUAUUUUACGGUGUUUUACGAUGAAGAAAUUCACUUUCAAAAGGGAAACAAUUGCAUCUAGAUUUUAUUAAUAGAGACUCCUGUAUGGACGAUGAUGCUGGAUACGUCGUCGUGAGUAUGUAUAUACACGUGAGUAAGUGAAUAGCCAAUAAUCGAUAUCCCAAGAGUAAAUGAGAUCGACGAUGGGACGAUCUUCUUCCUCCUCCUUUUUCAUUGAAAUAUUAAAAGGCUUGUGUCUGCGGACCCAAUUGCAAGUCAUUAAUUGCCAGUGAUCAAGCAACAACUGCUGGAGCUCGCUAAGUUAAUUACUAAGGAUCAUCGAACGAUCCUCGUGCUCGAUCGGUAAUAGGAAUUCCAAAGGUAGAAAAUGGCAUCGAAAAAGACCAACAGGAAGAAAGUUAGGAAUUGGAAUGUGUUGGCGAGCAAUGUUCGGACAUCAACCUCGGGCACUCGGCCCGCGUUUACCACACACACACACACAAACACACAAGCACACCCGUUGAUCCAUCCAUCCAUCCAUCCAUCCAUCCAUCCAUCCAUCCAUCCAUCCAUCCAUCCAUCCAUCCAUCCAUCCAUCCUUCCAU
Vespa mandarinia (Asian giant hornet) is the source of this 992-nucleotide long non-coding RNA. The record is from RefSeq and is a predicted model, not a curated record. NCBI's taxonomy places the organism in Eukaryota, Metazoa, Arthropoda, Insecta, Hymenoptera, Vespidae.